UGUCUCUCUUUGGAAACACGACCAGCGAACCAGUAAUGAAAAGCUGUCGGGGGGAGCAACUGUCCCUCCGGCCCUGCCGGAUCCGACCCUUGGGUCGGAUGUCGGAACACGGCGUAGGAUGACGCCAAGGAACACAAAUCUGCCGAUGCGCAUGGCUUCUAUGCUUGUGUUGCUGAGGCUCUCUUAUAACGAGAACGAAAAC
RNAcentral lists this unclassified non-coding RNA (202 nucleotides) under Schoenoplectiella juncoides. Its description in RNAcentral is "partial ITS1". Lineage: Eukaryota; Viridiplantae; Streptophyta; Magnoliopsida; Poales; Cyperaceae. The record is from RNAcentral.